GAGUCCCCUGGAACGGGGCGCCAUAGAGGGUGAGAGCCCCGUAUAGUUGGAUGCCUAGCCUCUAUAAAGCUCCUUCGACGAGUCGAGUAGUUUGGGAAUGCUGCUCAAAAUGGGAGGUAAAUUUCUUCUAAAGCUAAAUACCGGCCAGAGACCGAUAGCGCACAAGUAGAGUGAUCGAAAGAUGAAAAGCACUUUGAAAAGAGGGUUAAAUAGCACGUGAAAUUGUUGAAAGGGAAGCGCUUGUGACCAGACUUGCGCCGGGCAGCAUCAUCCGGUGUUCUCACCGGUGCACUCUGCCCGGUGCAGGCCAGCAUCGGUUCUCGCGGGGGGACAAAGGUCCUGGGAACGUAGCUCCUCCGGGAGUGUUAUAGCCCAGGGCGCAAUGCCCCCGCGGGGACCGAGGCUCGCGCUCUGCAAGGAUGCUGGCGUAAUGGUCACCAGCGACCCGUCUUGAAACACGGACCAAGGAGUCAAGGUUUUGCGCGAGUGUUUGGGUGUAAAACCCGCACGCGUAAUGAAAGUGAACGUAGGUGAGAGCUUCGGCGCAUCAUCGACCGAUCCUGAUGUAUUCGGAUGGAUUUGAGUAGGAGCGUUAAGCCUUGGACCCGAAAGAUGGUGAACUAUGCUUGGAUAGGGUGAAGCCAGAGGAAACUCUGGUGGAGGCUCGCAGCGGUUCUGACGUGCAAAUCGAUCGUCAAAUCUGAGCAUGGGGGCGAAAGACUAAUCGAACCAUCUAGUAGCUGGUUACCGCCGAAGUUUCCCUCAGGAUAGCAGUGUUGUCUUCAGUUUUAUGAGGUAAAGCGAAUGAUUAGGGACUCGGGGGCGCUUUUUAGCCUUCAUCCAUUCUCAAACUUUAAAUAUGUAAGAAGCCCUUGUUACUUAGUUGAACGUGGGCAUUCGAAUGUACCAACACUAGUGGGCCAUUUUUGGUAAGCAGAACUGGCGAUGCGGGAUGAACCGAACGCGGGGUUAAGGUGCCGGAGUGGACGCUCAUCAGACACCACAAAAGGCGUUAGUACAUCUUGACAGCAGGACGGUGGCCAUGGAAGUCGGAAUCCGCUAAGGACUGUGUAAGUUUUUACUCCCCCAUUCUCCCGUUUUCUUCUUUUUCUUCUUAAUACCCCUUACUAACAUAUCAUCUCUCUAGGUAACAACUCACCUGCCGAAUGUACUAGCCCUGAAAAUGGAUGGCGCUCAAGCGUCCCACCCAUACCCCGCCCUCAGGGUAGAAACGAUGCCCUGAGGAGUAGGCGGCCGUGGAGGUCAGUGACGAA
RNAcentral lists this ribosomal RNA (1274 nucleotides) under Sordariomycetes sp. MV-2018B. Its description in RNAcentral is "partial large subunit ribosomal RNA". It matches the Rfam family "Eukaryotic large subunit ribosomal RNA", at positions 183 to 1407 of the family's 3401-position model. Lineage: Eukaryota; Fungi; Ascomycota; Sordariomycetes. The record is from RNAcentral.